CUGCGGAAGGAUCAUUGUUGAUUUAAUUAUUGAAUACUUGAAUUGUUAAUUAUUAGUAGGAGACCUGUAUUAGAAGGGUAGACACGGAAGGGUAAUUAUUGCGACCUUGUCUUUACUUUUAUUUACCCACUCGUAUCGCAUGUUCUUGCCUCUCAGGCCUCCUUUUAAGAAGUUGCUUGAUUGUAUAAGAUUGUGUGAAAUGAGUGUUGUCUAGCACAAAAUGUGCUAAGGAAUCUUAAAGUAUGCAUGCGAAGCUUUCGCUUAUCAUCAACACAUCAUAGGUGUGUAUGAUUUUGCAAAUUUAACGACUCUUGGCAAAGGAUAUCUUGGUUCCCUCUUCGAUGAAGAACGUAGCAAAAUGCGAUACUUGGUGUGAAUUGCAGAAUCCCGUGAAUCAUCGAGUGUUUGAACGCAAGUUGCACCCUAAGCUUUUUAGUUCGGGGUAUGCUUUCUUGGGUGUCAUGUUUGUGCGAAGUUAAAGGUUGACCAUGCAUCAUUGGGCAUGUGUUCGUCUUUUGAAGUGAUAAUUGGCUUUCCAUGUUAUAAAUGGUGGGCUUUUGUUUUAUUGUCCCUUGAUAUAUGUAUGAUGGUGACAGAGAUGAUGGUGGAUGUUUGUUCACGACUCUUCGUUGAACUGAGUGCGCUUUUUAUAUGUUCUAUUGUAAUGAUUCUGAAGAGAUUCAAUUGGAUGCAAUGUGACUCCAGGUAAGGCUUGGACACCCGCUGAGCUUAAGCAUAUCA
RNAcentral lists this ribosomal RNA (741 nucleotides) under Afrothismia gesnerioides. Its description in RNAcentral is "eukaryotic LSU rRNA". The stretch from base 307 to 462 matches the Rfam family "5.8S ribosomal RNA". The record is from RNAcentral. Lineage: Eukaryota; Viridiplantae; Streptophyta; Magnoliopsida; Dioscoreales; Burmanniaceae.